RNAcentral lists this ribosomal RNA (497 nucleotides) under uncultured bacterium. RNAcentral's name for it is "partial 16S ribosomal RNA". It matches the Rfam family "Bacterial small subunit ribosomal RNA", at positions 28 to 507 of the family's 1533-position model. The record is from RNAcentral.
GAUGAACGCUGGCGGCGUGCCUAAUACAUGCAAGUCGAGCGAACAGACGAGGAGCUUGCUCCUCUGACGUUAGCGGCGGACGGGUGAGUAACUCGUGGAUAACCUACCUAUAAGACUGGGAUAACUUCGGGAAACCGUAGCUAAUACCGGAUAAUAUAUUGAACCGCAUGGUUCAAUAGUGAAAGACGGUUUUGCUGUCACUUAUAGAUUGAUCCGCGCCGCAUUAGCUAGUUGGUAAGGUAACGGCUUACCAAGGCAACGAUGCGUAGCCGACCUGAGAGGGUGAUCGGCCACACUGGAACUGAGACACGGUCCAGACUCCUACGGGAGGCAGCAGUAGGGAAUCUUCCGCAAUGGGCGAAAGCUUGACGGAGCAACGCCGCGUGAGUGAUGAAGGUCUUCGGAUCGUAAAACUCUGUUAUUAGGGAAGAACAAAUGUGUAAGUAACUAUGCACGUCUUGACGGUACCUAAUCAGAAAGCCACGGCUAACUACGUG